UACUCACACAACUAUAGCAUCGAGAUAGUCACUGACAAGUAAGUAGACAUCGAUGUGAUUUCUCAUUUUUGAUCAUGUUCAAUACUAUUAUUUUCUAACAACCAUCUGCACUCUCACUUCAGUAUCCUCAUAUUGUAGACUCAAGAUCUGUCUAUCCAAAAGGGAAGCGAUCUACGUACCAAUCUUGUCGGAUCGAUCACCAUCCGCAUGAUGAUCAUCGAUUAAGAGUAGUUUAGAAAUUAAUCUAUAAUGACACAUGUCUUUGUUAGAUGUAUGUCCUAGAAGCUAAUUAUUGGCUAGCAUAUUUUUAUUCUAUGACAUAAAUUUAUGAUGUAG
Molecule: long non-coding RNA, 336 nt
Filed under: Elaeis guineensis (African oil palm)
Lineage: Eukaryota; Viridiplantae; Streptophyta; Magnoliopsida; Arecales; Arecaceae
Description: long non-coding RNA (EGUI_LNC030687)
Source: RNAcentral